RNAcentral lists this ribosomal RNA (901 nucleotides) under Chloroflexi bacterium enrichment culture clone B4143. RNAcentral describes it as "bacterial SSU rRNA". It matches the Rfam family "Bacterial small subunit ribosomal RNA", at positions 8 to 916 of the family's 1533-position model. Lineage: Bacteria; Bacillati; Chloroflexota. The record is from RNAcentral.
AGAGUUUGAUCCUGGCUCAGGAUGAACGCUGGCGGCGUGCCUAAUACAUGCAAGUCGAACGGGAGGCUUGGAGGAAUUCAAGCUGAGAGUGGCGCACGGGUGAGGAACACAUGGCUGACCUGCCCUUCAGGGGGGGAUAACGGCUGGAAACGGCUGCUAAUACCCCAUACGCUCUUCGGGGUUAGAGGCUCGGAGAGGAAAGGCCGGAGACGGUUACUGAAGGAGGGGGCUGUGGCCCAUCAGCUAGUUGGUGAGGUAAGGGCUCACCAAGGCGACGACGGGUAGGGGGCCUGAGAGGGUGACCCCCCACACUGGGACUGAGACACGGCCCAGACUCCUACGGGAGGCAGCAGUAAGGGAUCUUGCGACAAUGGGCGAAAGCCUGACGCAGCAACGCCGCGUGCGGGAUGACGGCCUUCGGGUUGUAAACCGCUUUUCGGGGGGAAGAGGAAGGACGGUACCCCCGGAAGAAGUCUCGGCUAACUACGUGCCAGCAGCCGCGGUAAAACGUAGGAGGCGAGCGUUAUCCGGAUUUACUGGGUGUAAAGCGCGUGUAGGCGGUCGUGCAAGUGGCGCGUGAAAGCGCCCGGCUCAACCGGGCGAGGACGUGGGCGAACUGCGCGACUAGAGGCAGGUAGAGGCGUGUGGAAUUCCGGGUGUAGUGGUGAAAUGCGUAGAGAUCCGGAGGAACACCAGUGGCGAAGGCGACACGCUGGGCCUGGCCUGACGCUGAGAGGCGAAAGCAUGGGGAGCGAACGGGAUUAGAAACCCCGGUAGUCCAUGCCGUAAACGAUGCUGACUAGGUGUGGCGGGUCUGAACUCCCGCCGUGCCGGAGCCAACGUGGUAAGUCAGCCACCUGGGGACUACGGCCGCAAGGUUAAAACUCAAAUGAAUUGACGG